This 332-nucleotide unclassified non-coding RNA is filed under the name soil metagenome. Its description in RNAcentral is "partial contains 5.8S ribosomal RNA, internal transcribed spacer 2, and large subunit ribosomal RNA". The stretch from base 1 to 120 matches the Rfam family "5.8S ribosomal RNA", at positions 35 to 154 of the family's 154-position model. The record is from RNAcentral.
GAUGAAGUACGUAGCGAAAUGCGAUAAGUAGUGUGAAUUGCAGAAUUCAGUGAAUCAUCGAAUCUUUGAACGCACAUUGCGCCCGCCAGUAUUCUGGCGGGCAUGCCUGUUCGAGCGUCAUUUCAACCCUCAAGCACAGCUUGGUGUUGGGACUCGCGUUAAUUCGCGUUCCUCAAAUUGAUUGGCGGUCACGUCGAGCUUCCAUAGCGUAGUAGUAAAACCCUCGUUACUGGUAAUCGUCGCGGCCACGCCGUUAAACCCCAACUUCUGAAUGUUGACCUCGGAUCAGGUAGGAAUACCCGCUGAACUUAAGCAUAUCAAUAAGCGGAGGA